GACGAACGCUGGCGGCGUGCUUAACACAUGCAAGUCGAACGGAAAGGCCCUGCUUUUGUGGGGUGCUCGAGUGGCGAACGGGUGAGUAACACGUGAGUAACCUGCCCUUGACUUUGGGAUAACUUCAGGAAACUGGGGCUAAUACCGGAUAGGAGCUCCUGCUGCAUGGUGGGGGUUGGAAAGUUUCGGCGGUUGGGGAUGGACUCGCGGCUUAUCAGCUUGUUGGUGGGGUAGUGGCUUACCAAGGCUUUGACGGGUAGCCGGCCUGAGAGGGUGACCGGCCACAUUGGGACUGAGAUACGGCCCAGACUCCUACGGGAGGCAGCAGUGGGGAAUAUUGCACAAUGGGCGGAAGCCUGAUGCAGCAACGCCGCGUGCGGGAUGACGGCCUUCGGGUUGUAAACCGCUUUCGCCUGUGACGAAGCGUGAGUGACGGUAAUGGGUAAAGAAGCACCGGCUAACUACGUGCCAGCAGCCGCGGUGAUACGUAGGGUGCGAGCGUUGUCCGGAUUUAUUGGGCGUAAAGGGCUCGUAGGUGGUUGAUCGCGUCGGAAGUGUAAUCUUGGGGCUUAACCCUGAGCGUGCUUUCGAUACGGGUUGACUUGAGGAAUGUAGGGGAGAAUGGAAUUCCUGGUGGAGCGGUGGAAUGCGCAGAUAUCAGGAGGAACACCAGUGGCGAAGGCGGUUCUCUGGGCCUUUCCUGACGCGGAGGAGCGAAAGCGUGGGGAGCGAACAGGCUUAGAUACCCUGGUAGUCCACGCUGUAAACGGUGGGUACUAGGUGUGGGGUCCAUUCCACGGGUUCCGUGCCGUAGCUAACGCUUUAAGUACCCCGCCUGGGGAGUACGGCCGCAAGGCUAAAACUCAAAGGAAUUGACGGGGCCCCGCACAAGCGGCGGAGCAUGCGGAUUAAUUCGAUGCAACGCGUAGAACCUUACCUGGGUUUGACAUGGAUCGGGAGUGCUCAGAGAUGGGUGUGCCUCUUUUGGGGUCGGUUCACAGGUGGUGCAUGGCUGUCGUCAGCUCGUGUCGUGAGAUGUUGGGUUAAGUCCCGCAACGAGCGCAACCCUUGUUCACUGUUGCCAGCACGUUAUGGUGGGGACUCAGUGGAGACCGCCGGGGUCAACUCGGAGGAAGGUGGGGAUGACGUCAAGUCAUCAUGCCCCUUAUGUCCAGGGCUUCACGCAUGCUACAAUGGCUGGUACAGAGAGUGGCGAGCCUGUGAGGGUGAGCGAAUCUCGGAAAGCCGGUCUCAGUUCGGAUUGGGGUCUGCAACUCGACCUCAUGAAGUCGGAGUCGCUAGUAAUCGCAGAUCAGCAACGCUGCGGUGAAUACGUUCCCGGG
RNAcentral lists this ribosomal RNA (1343 nucleotides) under uncultured bacterium. RNAcentral's name for it is "16S ribosomal RNA". It matches the Rfam family "Bacterial small subunit ribosomal RNA", at positions 28 to 1378 of the family's 1533-position model. The record is from RNAcentral.